Molecule: small RNA, 24 nt
Filed under: Arabidopsis thaliana (thale cress)
Lineage: Eukaryota; Viridiplantae; Streptophyta; Magnoliopsida; Brassicales; Brassicaceae
Description: ATSL219390
Source: RNAcentral
UCUUCUUCUUGUUCUUCUUCAUUG